CUAGCGACUUCAGAGUUUGAUCCUGGCUCAGGACGAACGCUGGCGGCGUGCCUAACACAUGCAAGUCGAACGGAGUUGCCCUUCGGGGUAACUUAGUGGCGAACGGGUGAGUAACGCGUGAGAAACCUGCCUUUCAGUGGGGGACAACAGUUGGAAACGACUGCUAAUACCGCAUAAUGUUAUUUGGGGGCAUCCUUGAAUAACUAAAGAUUUAUUGCUGAAAGAUGGUCUCGCGUCUGAUUAGCUAGUUGGUAGGGUAACGGCCUACCAAGGCGACGAUCAGUAGCCGGUCUGAGAGGAUGAACGGCCACAUUGGGACUGAGAUACGGCCCAG
RNAcentral lists this ribosomal RNA (334 nucleotides) under uncultured bacterium. RNAcentral describes it as "bacterial SSU rRNA". It matches the Rfam family "Bacterial small subunit ribosomal RNA", at positions 1 to 334 of the family's 1533-position model. The record is from RNAcentral.